This 466-nucleotide ribosomal RNA is filed under the name uncultured bacterium. Its description in RNAcentral is "partial 16S ribosomal RNA". It matches the Rfam family "Bacterial small subunit ribosomal RNA", at positions 28 to 507 of the family's 1533-position model. The record is from RNAcentral.
GAUGAACGCUGGCGGCGUGCUUAACACAUGCAAGUCGAACGAUGAAGCCCAGCUUGCUGGGUGGAUUAGUGGCGAACGGGUGAGUAACACGUGAGUAACCUGCCCUUAACUCUGGGAUAAGCCUGGGAAACUGGGUCUAAUACCGGAUAGGAGCGUCCACCGCAUGGUGGGUGUUGGAAAGAUUUAUCGGUUUUGGAUGGACUCGCGGCCUAUCAGCUUGUUGGUGAGGUAAUGGCUCACCAAGGCGACGACGGGUAGCCGGCCUGAGAGGGUGACCGGCCACACUGGGACUGAGAGACGGCGCAGACUCCUACGGGAGGCAGCAGUGGGGAAUAUUGCACAAUGGGCGCAAGCCUGAUGCAGCGACGCCGCGUGAGGGAUGACGGCCUUCGGGUUGUGAACCUCUUUCAGUAGAGAAGAAGCGAAAGUGACGGUACCUGCAGAAGAAGCACCGGCUAACUACGUG